This 465-nucleotide ribosomal RNA is filed under the name Vreelandella stevensii. RNAcentral's name for it is "partial 16S ribosomal RNA". It matches the Rfam family "Bacterial small subunit ribosomal RNA", at positions 338 to 795 of the family's 1533-position model. Lineage: Bacteria; Pseudomonadati; Pseudomonadota; Gammaproteobacteria; Oceanospirillales; Halomonadaceae. The record is from RNAcentral.
CCUACGGGGGGCUGCAGUGGGGAAUAUUGGACAAUGGGGGCAACCCUGAUCCAGCCAUGCCGCGUGUGUGAAGAAGGCCCUCGGGUUGUAAAGCACUUUCAGUGAGGAAGAACGCCUGGUGGUUAAUACCCAUCAGGAAAGACAUCACUCACAGAAGAAGCACCGGCUAACUCCGUGCCAGCAGCCGCGGUAAUACGGAGGGUGCGAGCGUUAAUCGGAAUUACUGGGCGUAAAGCGCGCGUAGGUGGCUUGAUAAGCCGGUUGUGAAAGCCCCGGGCUCAACCUGGGAACGGCAUCCGGAACUGUCAAGCUAGAGUGCAGGAGGGGAAGGUAGAAUUCCCGGUGUAGCGGUGAAAUGCGUAGAGAUCGGGAGGAAUACCAGUGGCGAAGGCGGCCUUCUGGACUGACACUGACACUGAGGUGCGAAAGCGUGGGUAGCAAACAGGAUUAGAUACCCGUGUAGUC